RNAcentral lists this ribosomal RNA (775 nucleotides) under uncultured Neocallimastigales. Its description in RNAcentral is "partial large subunit ribosomal RNA". It matches the Rfam family "Eukaryotic large subunit ribosomal RNA", at positions 22 to 635 of the family's 3401-position model. Lineage: Eukaryota; Fungi; Neocallimastigomycota; Neocallimastigomycetes; Neocallimastigales. The record is from RNAcentral.
GUACACGCUGUGACUAGCAUAUCAAUAAGCGGAGGAAAAGAAACUAACAAGGAUUCCCCUAGUAACGGCGAGUGAAGCGGGAAGAGCUCAAAUUUGAAAUCUUAAAGGGUUUCCCUUUACGAAUUGUAGUUUAAAGAAGUGUUUUCUGUUGAGGUUUUGGUAAAAGUUCUUUGGAAUAGGACAUCAUAGAGGGUGAGAAUCCCGUAUUUGACCUUUACUUUCAACUUUGUGAUACACUUUCAAAGAGUCGGAUUGUUUGGGAAUGCAGUCCAAAAUGGGUGGUAAAUUUCAUCUAAAGCUAAAUAUUGGCGAGAGACCGAUAGCGAACAAGUACCGUGAGGGAAAGAUGAAAAGAACUUUGAAAAGAGAGUUAAACAGUACGUGAAAUUGUCAAAAGGGGAAGCGUUUGACACCAGUGUUGUUUUUCUGAAAAUCAAUUAAAGAACUGUUUAUGCUAAGCUGUUUAGACUUUAUCAGCUAUCUGUUUAGUUUUGAGCUUUUCUUUAAUGCACUUUUCAGUUAACAAGUCAACAUCAAUUUCUUUUGCUGUAAAAAAGCUUGAGGAAGGUGGCUUGAGAUUCGUCUUAAGUGUUUAUAGCCUCUUGCCUAUGCAGUCGGAGAGAUUGAGGUCUGCAGCGUAGAUCCUUCGGGGCUAAAUGCAUUUGUGCUAAGUUAUAGCAUUUUAUAGACAACUUGUUGACUAUGAUUUGUCUUGUAGCUUACUCGCUUAUGUUAUUUUACCUACGCUUAGGAUGUUGAAGAUGUAGCACAUCAU